GAGUUUGAUCCUGGCUCAGAACAAACGCUGGCGGCGUGCCUAACACAUGCAAGUCGUACGAGAAAGUUCGCUUCGGCGAAUGAGUAAAGUGGCGCACGGGUGAGUAACGCGUGGAUAAUCUGCCCUUUGGUUGGGAAUAACUCAUCGAAAGGUGGGCUAAUACCCGAUAAUACUGCUUUCACUACGGUGUAGUAGUCAAAGAUAGCCUCUGUUUACAAGCUUUCGCUGAAGGAUGAGUCCGCGUACCAUUAGCUAGUUGGUAGGGUAAUGGCCUACCAAGGCGACGAUGGUUAGCUGGUCUGAGAGGAUGAUCAGCCACACUGGAACUGAGAUACGGUCCAGACUCCUACGGGAGGCAGCAGUGAGGAAUCUUGCGCAAUGGGGGAAACCCUGACGCAGCAACGCCGCGUGAGUGAGGAAGGUUUUCGGAUCGUAAAGCUCUGUCAGGUGGGAAGAAAUGUAUGAGGGUAAAUAGCCUUUAUACUUGACGGUACCACCAGAGGAAGCACCGGCUAACUCCGUGCCAGCAGCCGCGGUAAUACGGGGGGUGCAAGCGUUGUUCGGAAUUAUUGGGCGUAAAGAGCGUGUAGGCGGCUUGAUAAGUCAGAUGUGAAAGCCCUGGGCUUAACCCAGGAAGUGCAUUUGAAACUGUCUUGCUUGA
RNAcentral lists this ribosomal RNA (661 nucleotides) under uncultured delta proteobacterium. Its description in RNAcentral is "bacterial SSU rRNA". It matches the Rfam family "Bacterial small subunit ribosomal RNA", at positions 9 to 645 of the family's 1533-position model. The record is from RNAcentral. Lineage: Bacteria; Deltaproteobacteria.